GUCAGCCUGGCUGUCCGGGCACCCUUUUGCAAUUUUCGUUUGAAUUGAUUUUUUUAAAAGCACCUGAUAUACACUUUUCUUCUUAUUCUUCUCCUUCUAGUCCUCUAUUCAAGGCCCUACCACAGAGACACACAGGAAUGGAACUCAGAAUCACAAACAAACAAACUUUGAUCCAAGAAAGAAAAUGAUCUUUAAAAAGACCCUCGUUUCAUGCUGGCCAAUGCUGAGAAAAUCUGCUCUGGAGGAUAUUUGGAGACACUGAUUAAAAGAUGGUUGUCCCAGUGGAGGGGGAUUCUUCGUGUUACGUAGAUAGCAAGCACGAUGCAAAAGUGUUGAAGCAGGAGUGUAAAGAAUAAUUAAAACACCUGCCCAAGACCCAAGCAAGGAUAGGAUUUCCCAGACAUUCCCGAGGGAGAAAAUGCCAUGUCCUUUCCUUCUGGUGUCACAUCAGAAUCUGAAGGCUGCUAGAGAAGAGAGAGAAACAUGAAAGUGAGUCCCAUGCUGAUUGUUGUUGAAAUACCUGGAAAGAAACUGGCAAAGACUAUCCAAGGGAUGCUAAGACAUGUCCGAACUUACAAAACAGUAGAACCUGAAUAGGAAUUUGAAGUUGUCUAUACUCAGCCACACCCUGCCAUUUUACAGACUGUCUUCUCUG
RNAcentral lists this small RNA (655 nucleotides) under Pan troglodytes (chimpanzee). Its description in RNAcentral is "processed transcript". The record is from RNAcentral. Lineage: Eukaryota; Metazoa; Chordata; Mammalia; Primates; Hominidae.